CGGGAAGGACAUGGAGCUGCUGGAGUGACUCCAGAGGAGGGCCACCAAGAUGAUUAGAAGGGUGGAACAUCUCUCCUAUGAGGAAAGACUGAGAGAAUUGGGAUUAUUCAGCCUAGAAACGAGAUUUAGGAGUGACUUAAUUGGGGCAUUCCAGUAUCUGAAGAGGAGCCUUACAAGAAAGCUGGAGAGGGAUGUUUUACCAGGGCACGUAAUGACAGGACAAGGGGGAAAUGGCUCCAAGCUGAAAGAGAGCAGAUGUAGAUUAGAUAUCAAGAAAAAAAUCUUUACUGUGAAGGUGGUGAGGGACUACCCCAGGUUUCCCAGAGAAGUUGUAGAUGUCUCAUCCCUGGAGGUGUUCAAGACCCAGGGUGGAUGGAGCUCUGAGCAACCUGGUCUAAUGGAAAGUGUCCCUUCCCAUGGCAAAGGGGUUGGAACUAGAUGACCUUUCAAGUCUCUUGCAGCCCAAACCAUUCCAUGAUAUGCAGCAGCUUUCUCAGCUAUUAAAUGGGCUAGUGUGGGAGUAGCUCAAAGGUGUAGAGCUCUUGGUAGGAAAUUGCUGAGCAGAGGCAGCAGAAUUCAGAAUAGUCAGUAUAUCAAAUGACUCCGAUAAUCAGGCAACUGUAUGAUCAAAGCACACUAUAUGGAAACAUAGGGGAUUCUUUUAUGUGUAAUUACUAAAUAGGUCAGGUCAGUCUCUAAUUUGGCAAAGCUCAUAUACAUGAACACAUAGUUAAGGAUUAGAACUAACUGAAUACAAAAAUUGUAUUUCUACAAUCGCUCACACACCUGAAGUGUCCCUUCACACUGGAGUAUCAUCAUUGCACUUUCAUAGUAUCAGUGAAUUUAAGGGGGUUUUACUAACACCACAGCAUUUUCUAAAUUUCAGGAAGGAAAUGUGGAUAAUAUGUGUGAAUGUAUGUACAAACAUACAUGCAUACACAUAUAUAUGUAUGUAUGUGUGCGCUUGUAUAUAUACAGUCAGCAAAUGAGGCAGUUACAGCAUGUAGCAAGCUUUAAAAUAUUUUCAAAAGUGAAAUUAAUUAUUUCCUGUUGGUUUUUGUUUUGUUUUUUCCUUUUUCAGUAAAGAAGUAAGAACAAGAAAAAUUACAGAUUUUUUCUAUGUUCUUCAUAAGUGCAGAUCUGCAUUUAACCAACAACAAAUAUAAGCAUAAGAACUGCUGGAGUAGAGUCAACACACAGUGCAAUUGGAAAAACUGAGAAGGAAGACUGUGCUACAUUCUCCUGGUUUAAUUUUUCCAGCACGUGAAGCCUCUCCAGGAUCACACUCCUGCUCUGUCACUCCCUCAGCAGAGUCGUGGAUGCUGGUCACUGCUGCUGCCGUGGCGCACGUGGCUUGUGCACUGCACCCAGGGCUUCUGAAUCAGCACAGUUUCACUCUGAGAAAGAAUGAACCAGGUCAUUGAGAUAAAAAAUGGCCCGGACAGAAAUAUAUGAUGGGAUCUUCACUGUUGGAGGCAAGUAGACUGACAUUGAUGACUAAAUGGGAGACUACCAUCUACUAUCUUUGCUGUGUUUAGUAUAUGGCUCUUUUUCCCCCCCACAUUCUAUUUUGAAGUUAGAGUUGCAAUAAGAUGCAACUUUAUGCUUUAUUUUAAAGCAUAAAGCUAAAAUACUAAGAUGAUGUAGUCAGUUUUUGAUAAAAAACUUCUAAGAAGGACAAGAAUGAACAACUCCUUCCAGCUCAGAACGAAGCCCCCUAGCAAGAGCCAACAUCAUGACAGAAGGAACCCAAAACUUUAAAGCUGCUUAAGAAGGAGCUGUGGCAUGAAAGAGAAACAAUCUAAGAAAUGCUGCCCAUUGUUUUAAGCAAGCUCAGACACAGGAGACCAACUGAAAAAGACGUCUGUCCAUGCUAAACAGGUCACUGGACAACUAUCUGCAUCACAAAUGUGCUUGGGAACCAAAGACUGGAAGAGACUACCGAGAUCCUGAUGGACUGUCAAGUCCAACUCUCUCCAUACCAGUCAGCCAUGCAUUAGAAAUUUUGUCCAGAACAGCCUAUGGGAUAUGCUUCUUUGCAUGUCCUGCAUACCCAAUCUACAAAACACCUAUGGAACUCUAUCACAGAAUGAAGAUUCCCUAUAAACAAAAACGUCAGAAGGUAUCGCUUGGGGAAGAUGUAACAAGUCUGGAAACUGCAAACUUUCCUUCAAAAGAAAUUACCUUUCAGAGUGACUAUGUAGCACUCUCCUUUACUUCCCUUACAAAAUAUCCUGUAAAGAUAAUUUGGCAUGCAUGCAGAUGACAUACAGUUUUUCUACUGAGAUUUAAAUAUGAGCUGUUACAGUGUAUUAGAUCUCACCCUCAUUAAAGUAUCUCUUGCAGAUAAGUAUCUAUGAGAGAAAAUUCAUAUCAUGAUUGGCCUGUGUGACUCACACUGCCAGGCUGAUAGGGUUCAGGAGCUGCUUCCAGGACAUGUCAGCUCUGCAGGCUGCAUAACCACAUCAGACACCUCGAAGUAACUUGUCCCUGUUUGAGUGACACUCCUUUUCAGAUAACAGCUGAGACCUCAGAGAGAGGCAAAGCCUGCAAUACCUGUUCUGCAGAUAAAAAGAUCUUAAGUCUCCCAUGAGGCCAACCCAGCUGAUUCUACAUGCAGUAAUACAAAGCAUAUUUUAAAUACAAUUUUAAUUAUUCCUCUGGUAUAGAUACAAGCACUGAAUUUAGUUUGUCACAGAUUUCACCAAUAUUUAUACAUAAUCUGACACAUAAAUUAUAAAAAAAGAAACACAAUCUAAGUUUGAAUUGUACUUGCAGUACAGCUGCAAUUCAAAUUAGACAUGUGUCUCUCAAACAAAAACCACUCCAGUCAACAUCUACAGAUUUGGAAGUAUUUUAGUUAUUUCAGUCUAAGAAAGGUUUGCAACAUUCUAGGGCUCUUAGCUAGAAUGUAAGAGAUAAAAUCUCACAAAGAAGAAAUGGCAUGACUACAUAUUUUCAGAACUGCUUCACCAAGAAUUAAAAAUAAAUGUUACAUAGAACUAUAGGCAAAUAAUGUACUUCUCUGUCCAACUCUAAACAAGUUGACUUUCUGGAUGCAGAGAUCUAAUGGCACUUUAUGUGUGGAUGAAAGUAGAAUCAUAGGAUAUUCUGAGUUAGAAGGGACUGACAAAGAUCAUUGAGUCCAGCUCCUGGCCCUGCACAGAAAAUCCCAAGUCACAUCCUGUGCCCAAGAGUAUUGUCCAAAAGCUUCCUGAACUCUGUCAUUCACCCAGCUUAGCGCUGUGACCACUGCCCUGGGGAGCCUGUUCUGGUGCCCAACCACCCUCUGGGUGAAGAACCUUUUCCUGAUAUCCCACCUAAGCCUCCCCUGGCACAGCUUCAGGCCACUCUCUCAGGUCCCUCAGGACCUGUCACUGGGCACCAGAGAGAAGAGCUCAGUGCCUGCUGCUCCUCUUCCCCUCACAAGGAAAUUGUUGACUGCAGUGAGGUGCCCCUCAGCCUCCUCCAGGCUGAACAGACCAAGUGACCUCAGCUGCUCCCAAUAUGCCUUCCCCUCCAUGCCCUUCACCAAAUGUAGAAUAAAAUGGGUUAAACUGGUAUUAAAGCAUUAAUGAAAAUUUAAAAGUGGCUAAAUGAUAGAGGCAUGAAGCACAAGGAGGUGUAGCAAAAGUAACAAGUAUUUUUAAUAUUUUUGUUUAUUGAGCUUCCUAUAGAUUUAUUGCACAAAGCCAUGUAGCAAAUAAAGACCACAUACA
Agelaius phoeniceus (red-winged blackbird) is the source of this 3719-nucleotide non-coding RNA. The record is from RefSeq and is a predicted model, not a curated record. NCBI's taxonomy places the organism in Eukaryota, Metazoa, Chordata, Aves, Passeriformes, Icteridae.